GUGACAGCAGCUAAGGCGAGGCAGGAGAAAAAGAUUUAAAGCCAAGAAAAGCCCAAGGCAUGGUUUGGAUACUGUGAAAAGCAGAAGUGGAUCUUUGUGCCUUGCUCUCCUUUCUAACUACAGUCUAAGAACAAGGGAUUGAUACUCAACUGGGAGUUGCCUCUAUCAGAGGGCCUUUGUAGAGCAAAGAAGACAUGGAGUUAAGCUCUUCCUGUUAACAUUCACUCACGGCACAGUGAUACCUGCUCGACCCUGAGGCAGAGGAGGCCUGAGAUUGUCCAGCAGUGCACCUAUCCUUAGCUUCUGACCACUGCCAGCAGGUAAUUGCAGAGAACAAGAAGGUUGAGCUUCCUUUUCUCCAAGCUAAACAACUCCAGUUCCCUCAGCUGUGCCUCAUAAGACUUCUGCUUCAGAUCAUCCACCAGGUUGCACAAGCUCAUGGAAGUGGUCUAUAAAUACUGGAAAAACAAUGGAAAGAUCCCUUAUGCUACAGGACAAUAUUAGAGAAGAAAAGCUCAGGCUGGAAAAGAGGUGCUUCUACAUGAAACAGAUGCCUUUUAUUGAAGACUGGAUCCUGGUAGCCCCUCCAGAACUACAGAGAUGGAAAAAGGUGCAAGAAGCUGCCUGGACACAAAUGUGCUCCAACUGGGAUGCGAUGAGUCCAUGGCAUAACUUCCUGGAAGGGAUGCAACUUGCAGCUGGACCUGAAUGAUCCUGAGAAGAGAGUGCCAAGCCAGCUUGGAGCAACAGCCUGGCCAGGUGGGAAACAGGGUUGAAUGCUGGCUCUCCAAGCUGUCUAGCAGCCUUCAGCCGAUCCAUGAAGAGCCAAACUCAAAACUUUUCUCUUCUUACUGCUGUGAGAAGCCGGUCUUGAAUUAGGUCUCUUAUUUAUAUCACUGCUGCUCUCCUGUGCCCACUUUUCCUCUGUCAUGUAUGCUGCAGAAGUGAUUGUUUAUCGAUGUGUGAAAAUGGGUAUAGGGUGCAUUCAUGCUGCUGUGAUGGGAUUUUGGACAGUGAGAUCCACGGCUUUUACAGUGUCGGCCUUGUGAAAUUUGGGGACAGCUGCAAGACUGCAUGUGCUGUGUUUUCAACUUACACUCAUUUACUACAGUGUGUUUUGAAAAUUCUCUACAUUCCUCAGCAGUGGAGCCUGAUACUUGUUACCCUUAGUUUAAAAGGACUGGGGGAAAAAAAGAAAUAAAAACCCAACAAAACCCCCAAAUCACUGGCCACAGCUCGAGGAAAUGACUUUUCAGGAGACCUCACAAACUACACAGCACAAUUAUUAACAGAGAGGCACUGAGAUCAUUCAAAGUAAAACCAUACUUUUAGUCAUUGGAGCUGUUAGGAUUUAAGGAGGACUGAAUGUCUUUAAAGGACAUAGCACAGCUUACAAAAGGUGAUGUAUGCCUGCUUUGUGAUGGACCAUUGCAAAUGUUCCUUAUAUCAUUUGAAUGCCACUUCGGAGUCUGGGGAAAAAGGCUAAAAGAACUUGAACCUUUGUUGUUGAUCUGUGCCUAAUGAUCUGCAAUAUGCCUGGCAAAGUAAACAUCCCAUUAAGUGAAGAAAUUGGAACUUGUUUGGAGUUUUUAAGUAGAAUAGGGAUUUUUUAAAAACUCUUUGAGGAUAUUUUAUAUUCAGGUCUAUACUAGAUAGGAAGCAGAGGAAAACAUUUCCAGGGAAAAUAAUGAUGUUUUGCUUAUUUCCUUUUAACCCUGCAACCUUUGAGAUACUAAGUCAACUUAAUGUGCUCAGAAUGUGAUGUUUAAAAGACCCCUCCCAUACAUGUCUGUGGCAAACCUAAGACUAGUAGAAUGCCGUUGGAUGGCAAAAAAUCUUGGGGAAGAAGGCAUGGAAUUAAAUGCAUUUUAAUCACUUCUAUAUGUUAAAAGGUUUAUGGUUGAAUCUAAGACAAAAGCAUGCCACCAGAAGUACCUUGGCAAGGCAUGUUUGUGUGAAGUGCACGUGUGUCUUCUGUUUCUUUAACAGAUAAAAUAAAAGGCUUAGCAAAAA
Molecule: long non-coding RNA, 2013 nt
Organism: Pogoniulus pusillus (Red-fronted tinkerbird)
Lineage: Eukaryota; Metazoa; Chordata; Aves; Piciformes; Lybiidae
Exons: 6
Source: RefSeq, a predicted model, not a curated record